UGGGCUGCAAAAGAAGUAGGUAGUUUAACCUUCGGGGGGACGCUUACCACUUUGUGGUUCAUGACUGGGGUGAAGUCGUAACAAGGUAGCGCUAGGGGAACCUGGCGCUGGAUCACCUCCUUAWACGAUGAU
RNAcentral lists this ribosomal RNA (132 nucleotides) under Vibrio parahaemolyticus. Its description in RNAcentral is "partial 16S ribosomal RNA". It matches the Rfam family "Bacterial small subunit ribosomal RNA", at positions 1411 to 1533 of the family's 1533-position model. The record is from RNAcentral. Lineage: Bacteria; Pseudomonadati; Pseudomonadota; Gammaproteobacteria; Vibrionales; Vibrionaceae.